RNAcentral lists this transfer-messenger RNA (357 nucleotides) under Candidatus Omnitrophota bacterium. Its description in RNAcentral is "Candidatus Omnitrophica bacterium transfer-messenger RNA". It matches the Rfam family "transfer-messenger RNA". From Rfam's summary of the family: Bacterial tmRNA, also known as 10Sa RNA or SsrA, is named for its dual tRNA and mRNA-like properties. Its role is to liberate the mRNA from a stalled ribosome. The record is from RNAcentral. Lineage: Bacteria; Pseudomonadati; Candidatus Omnitrophota.
GGGGGUGUAAGGGACUCGACUCAAAAAGUAGGGAGAAAGUUGCAUGCCAGCGGGUAGGCCCGCUGCAAGAGGCCUACAAAAAAAGAAAGGCAGACACCUAUACUUCUACUCCUGCUUACGCAGUUUGUUAAGCAGGGCUCUUGGCUCCGGUUGCCUCAGCUGGAGUUAAGGGCUGGGUUUGUGAGGCUGGAGAUAGACUCUUGUCUCCGGAGUCUAUCUUGAAAUUGCAGGAGACUAUCUCUAAUUUCUUCUGCUUCUCGGAGAAAUUAGAGAGAAAUCAAAAAGAGAAGCUAAGCAUGUAGGGGCUUUCUCUUGAGCUUUUUGAGGACGCGGGUUCAAGUCCCGCCACCUCCACCA